CAAAAGCUUGGUCCUGACUUUUCUAUUAGCCCUCACCAAAAUUACACAUGCAAGUCUCCGCACCCCCGUGAGAAUGCCCUCAGCCCCGCCCGAGGGGCGAGGAGCUGGCAUCAGGCACGCCCCGGCAGCCCAAGACGCCUUGCUCAGCCACACCCCCAAGGGACCUCAGCAGUGACAAACAUUAAGCCAUGAGUGAAAACUUGACCUAGUUAUGGUGAACAGAGCCGGUAAAUUUCGUGCCAGCCACCGCGGUUACACGAGAGGCUCAAGUUAAUAGACAUCGGCGUAAAGCGUGGUUAGGCUAACCUUAAAAUUAAAGUCGAACGCCCACAAAACUGUUAUACGUACCCGAAGGCAUGAAGCCCCACAACGAAAGUGACUUUAUCACCCCGAACCCACGACAAUCAUGACACAAACUGAGAUUAGAUACCCCAUUAUGCUUGACUGUAAAAAUAAAUAGUACUUUACACCCCCUAUUCGCCCGGGAACUACGAGCACCAGCUUAAAACCCAAAGGACUUGGCGGUGCUUCAGACCCCCCUAGAGGAGCCUGUCCUAGAACCGAUGACCCCCGUUUAACCUCACCGUCCCUUGUUUAACCCGCCUAUAUACCGCCGUCGUCAGCUUACCCCUUGAGGGACUCAGAGUGAGCCGGAUAAGUACCACCUAAAACGCCAGGUCGAGGUGUAGCGUAUGGGACGGGAAGAGAUGGGCUACAUUCUCUUUUAAGAGCACACGAAUGAUACACUGAAAAUAAGUAUCUAAAGGAGAAUUUAGCAGUAAGCAGGGAACAAAGCGCCCUGCUGAAGCCGGCUCUGAAGCGCGCACACACCGCCCGUCACUCUCCCCGAACCUCACUUACCACUAUAUAAGGAAACCUUUCCAACUGAAGGGGAGGCAAGUCGUAACAUGGUAAGUGUACCGGAAGGUGCACUUGGAAGAGA
Molecule: non-coding RNA, 943 nt
Filed under: Pseudotrichonotus altivelis
Lineage: Eukaryota; Metazoa; Chordata; Actinopteri; Aulopiformes; Pseudotrichonotidae
Description: 12S ribosomal RNA
Rfam family: Bacterial small subunit ribosomal RNA
Source: RNAcentral